UACGGAGGGGGCUAGCGUUAUUCGGAAUUAUUGGGCGUAAAGGGCGUGUAGGCGGCUUCGUAAGUCUUGUGUGAAAGCCCUCGGCUCAACCGAGGAAUUGCACGAGAAACUGCGUGGCUCGAGUCCGGGAGAGGAUAGUGGAAUUCCCAGUGUAGCGGUGAAAUGCGUAGAUAUUGGGAGGAACACCAGUGGCGAAGGCGGCUCACUGGACCGGAACUGACGCUGAGGCGCGAAAGCGUGGGGAGCAAACGGG
Molecule: ribosomal RNA, 253 nt
Filed under: uncultured bacterium
Lineage: Bacteria
Description: partial 16S ribosomal RNA
Rfam family: Bacterial small subunit ribosomal RNA
Source: RNAcentral